This 288-nucleotide ribosomal RNA is filed under the name Hymenolepis diminuta. RNAcentral's name for it is "partial 28S ribosomal RNA". It matches the Rfam family "Eukaryotic large subunit ribosomal RNA", at positions 19 to 286 of the family's 3401-position model. The record is from RNAcentral. Lineage: Eukaryota; Metazoa; Platyhelminthes; Cestoda; Cyclophyllidea; Hymenolepididae.
GAUUACCCGCUGAACUUAAGCAUAUUCAAUAACGGAGGAAAAGAAACUAACAGGAUUCCCUUGGUAACGGCGAGUGAAGAGGGAAGAGCCCAGCACCGAAGCCUGGCGGCAGUUUUGCUGUUAGGCAAUGUGGUGUGUGGGUGUCGCUCGCGGACAUACUCACUCGAGUCAGCAUGGUAUGCAAUCACUGAUUGGCAUAGAGGGUGAGAGGAUCGUACGGGUGGAGGUUCAGACAUGUACGAUGGUUCACCAGGCCGGCCUCAGAGUCGGGGUGUUUGUGAAUGCAGC